CCUACGGGAGGCAGCAGUGAGGAAUAUUGGUCAAUGGACGCAAGUCUGAACCAGCCAUGCCGCGUGCAGGAAGACGGCUCUAUGAGUUGUAAACUGCUUUUGUACGAGGGUAAACGCAGAUACGCGUAUCUGUCUGAAAGUAUCGUACGAAUACGGAUCGGCUAACUCCGUGCCAGCAGCCGCGGUAAUACGGAGGAUUCAAGCGUUAUCCGGAUUUAUUGGGUUUAAAGGGUGCGUAGGCGGUCGGAUAAGUUAGAGGUGAAAGCCCGAGGCUCAACUUCGGAAUUGCCUCUGAUACUGUUCGGCUAGAGAGUAGUAGCGGUAGGCGGAAUGUAUGGUGUAGCGGUGAAAUGCUUAGAGAUCAUACAGAACACCGAUUGCGAAGGCAGCUUACCAAGCUACUUCUGACGUUGAGGCACGAAAGCGUGGGGAGCAAACAGGAUUAGAUACCCCUGUAGUC
This 460-nucleotide ribosomal RNA is filed under the name uncultured bacterium. Its description in RNAcentral is "partial 16S ribosomal RNA". It matches the Rfam family "Bacterial small subunit ribosomal RNA", at positions 338 to 795 of the family's 1533-position model. The record is from RNAcentral.